Molecule: ribosomal RNA, 493 nt
Filed under: Pseudohelice subquadrata
Lineage: Eukaryota; Metazoa; Arthropoda; Malacostraca; Decapoda; Varunidae
Description: partial 16S ribosomal RNA
Rfam family: Bacterial large subunit ribosomal RNA
Source: RNAcentral
UGAUUGAAAGUAUUUAAAUGGCCGCGGUAUCUUGACCGUGCAAAGGUAGCAUAAUCGUUAGGUUUUUAAUUGGAAUCUUGUAUGAAUGGUUGGACAAAAGAAAAUCUGUCUUCUAUGUUGUUUGUUGAAUUUAACUUUUAAGUGAAAAGGCUUAGAUGAAUUAGAGGGACGAUAAGACCCUAGAAAGCUUAAUAUUAAAAUUUUACUUGGUUGAAUUAAUUAUAAAAACUUAGUAAUUGAAUUUAUUUUAUUGGGGCGAUAAGAGUAUAAAAGUCAUUAACUGCUUAAUUUUUAAUACAUUAUAUAAAUGAUUGAAUUUUUAAAUGAUCCUAGUUAAAGAUUAAGAGCUUAAGUUACUUUAGGGAUAACAGCGUUAUUUUUUUUGAGAGUGCUUAUCGACAAAAAAGUUUGCGACCUCGAUGUUGAAUUAAAAUGUCUUUAUAAUUGUAGCAGUUAUAAAAGUAGGUCUGUUCGACCUUUAAAGUUUUACAUG